AUAGGUAUAACUCAGUGGUAGAGCACAUGCUUAGCAUGCAUGAGGUCCUGGAUUCAAUCCUCAGUACCUCUG
Molecule: transfer RNA, 72 nt
Filed under: Camelus bactrianus (Bactrian camel)
Lineage: Eukaryota; Metazoa; Chordata; Mammalia; Artiodactyla; Camelidae
Also listed under: 1 other name
Rfam family: tRNA
About the family: Transfer RNA (tRNA) molecules are approximately 80 nucleotides in length. Their secondary structure includes four short double-helical elements and three loops (D, anti-codon, and T loops). Further hydrogen bonds mediate the characteristic L-shaped molecular structure. tRNAs have two regions of fundamental functional importance: the anti-codon, which is responsible for specific mRNA codon recognition, and the 3' end, to which the tRNAs corresponding amino acid is attached (by aminoacyl-tRNA synthetases). tRNAs cope with the degeneracy of the genetic code in two manners: having more than one tRNA (with a specific anti-codon) for a particular amino acid; and 'wobble' base-pairing, i.e. permitting non-standard base-pairing at the 3rd anti-codon position.
Source: Rfam by way of RNAcentral